GUGCCGCAGCCGCGGUAACCCCAGCGCCACAAGUGGGAACCAGUUUUAUUGGGUCUAAAGCAUCCGUAGCCGGCUCUGUAAGUUUUCGGUUAAAUCUGUAUGCUCAACAUACAGGCUGCCGGGAAUACUGCAGAGCUAGGGAGUGGGAGAGGUAGACGGUACUCGGUAGGAAGGGGUAAAAUCCUUUGAUCUAUUGAUGACCACCUGUGGCGAAGGCGGUCUACCAGAACACGUCCGACGGUGAGGGAUGAAAGCUGGGGGAGCAAACCGGAUUAGAUA
RNAcentral lists this ribosomal RNA (279 nucleotides) under uncultured bacterium. RNAcentral describes it as "partial 16S ribosomal RNA". It matches the Rfam family "Archaeal small subunit ribosomal RNA", at positions 455 to 735 of the family's 1478-position model. The record is from RNAcentral.